Molecule: long non-coding RNA, 682 nt
Filed under: Bos indicus x Bos taurus (hybrid cattle)
Lineage: Eukaryota; Metazoa; Chordata; Mammalia; Artiodactyla; Bovidae
Description: lncRNA (ENSBIXG00000025153.1)
Source: RNAcentral
GGCCGGGCCGCCCAGAGCUCGCCAUUGGGCCUCACUCCCGGGGUCCCGAGCGCCGGCCAUGCUGAUUGGCCGCUGGGGCUUCAUUCACAGCCCCCCUACAGUCCGCAUACACACUCACGCCCCGGGGGCGCGGCCGCCACGUGGGGAGUGGCGCGGGGGUGGUACUGGGACCGCACCCCCUCUCGUCCUGGCUGCGUGGGCCCGCUUUCCCCGGUCUCUGGAGACUCCGAGCCCGGCGGGUCCCACGCUCCACGCGAGCAGAAUUCCCGCAGGUCUCCCGCCCGGGUGGCCAGAGGCGGUGGCGGGGAUGGCGGGCUCCGGGAGGCGCUCCGGCUCCGAGAAGCCGCUUAGCCCCGCGCUCCUCCCUCCGCAGUGCCGCCGCCGGCGGGCCGGGAUUCCCGCGGGUCUCGGCGGCCGCGAGCUGCAGGCGGCGCAGGUCCCCGGCUCGGUUGGUCACCUUGCCCGCCUCGCCUCCCACGGCUUCCAGCGGGCGCGGAGCUCUCCUCUGCGCGCCUCCCCGGCCCGUCUCGGUUUCCCUUCUUCGUCCUCUAGACCAUCCAGCGCAACUCCGUCGACCUCCGCGGCCCUGAGAGAGCAUCCGGCGCGGGCAGAGGCGUACCGGCCCGACCUCACGCCUCUCAUGGACUCUUCUCCAGGGUACCAUGGCCCAGGGAGUUCCUAG